GGACGAACGCUGGCGGCGUGCUUAACCCAUGCAAGUCGAACGGAAAGGCCCCUUUGGGGGUACUCGAGUGGCGAACGGGUGAGUAACACGUGAGUAACCUGCCCUUGACUUCGGGAUAACUUCAGGAAACUGGGGCUAAUACCGGAUAGGAAUCCUUGCUGCAUGGUGGGGGUUGGAAAGCUUCGGCGGUUUUGGAUGGACUCGCGGCUUAUCAGCUUGUUGGUGGGGUAGUGGCUUACCAAGGCUUUGACGGGUAGCCGGCCUGGGAGGGCGACCGGCCACAUUGGGACUGGGAUACGGCCCAGACUCCUACGGGGGGCAGCAGUGGGGAAUAUUGCACAAUGGGCGGAAGCCUGAUGCAGCAACGCCGCGUGCGGGAUGACGGCCUUCGGGUUGUAAACCGCUUUCAGCAGGGGCGAAGCUUGUGGUGACGGUACCUGCAGAAGAAGCACCGGCUAACUACGUG
Molecule: ribosomal RNA, 466 nt
Filed under: uncultured bacterium
Lineage: Bacteria
Description: partial 16S ribosomal RNA
Rfam family: Bacterial small subunit ribosomal RNA
Source: RNAcentral